GACGAACGCUGGCGGCGUGCUUAACACAUGCAAGUCGAACGGGAUUUAGUAGACAGAAGCCUCGGCUAAAGAUUACUAAUGAGAGUGGCGAACGGGUGAGUAACGCGUGAGCAACCUGCCUAUGACAGUGGGAUAGCCUCGGGAAACCGGGAUUAAUACCGCAUAAAAUCGUAGAAACACAUGUUUUAACGGUCAAAGAUUUAUCGGUCAUAGAUGGGCUCGCGUCUGAUUAGCUAGUUGGUGGGAUAACAGCCCACCAAGGCGACGAUCAGUAGCCGGUCUGAGAGGAUGAACGGCCACAUUGGAACUGAGACACGGUCCAAACUCCUACGGGAGGCAGCAGUGGGGAAUAUUGCACAAUGGGGGAAACCCUGAUGCAGCGACGCCGCGUGAACGAAGAAGGUAUUCGUAUCGUAAAGUUCUGUCCUAUGGGAAGAUAAUGACAGUACCAUAGAAGAAAGCUCCGGCUAAAUACGUG
Molecule: ribosomal RNA, 478 nt
Filed under: uncultured bacterium
Lineage: Bacteria
Description: partial 16S ribosomal RNA
Rfam family: Bacterial small subunit ribosomal RNA
Source: RNAcentral